UCCGAGUUGUAAUUUGUAGAGGAUGCUUCGAGCAUGGUCUGGCCUAAGUUCCUUGGAACAGGACGUCAUAGAGGGUGAGAAUCCCGUAUGCGGCCAGGUGCCUACGCUCAUGUGAAGCUCCUUCGACGAGUCGAGUUGUUUGGGAAUGCAGCUCAAAAUGGGUGGUAAAUUUCAUCUAAAGCUAAAUAUUGGCCAGAGACCGAUAGCGCACAAGUAGAGUGAUCGAAAGAUGAAAAGCACUUUGGAAAGAGAGUUAAACAGUACGUGAAAUUGUUGAAAGGGAAGCGCUUGCAACCAGACUUGCGCGCGGCCGAUCAUCCGGUGUUCUCACCGGUGCACUCGGCCGUGCUCAGGCCAGCAUCGGUUUUGGCGGCUGGAUAAAGGCCCUAGGAAUGUAGCUCCUCUCGGGGAGUGUUAUAGCCUAGGGUGCAAUGCAGCCUGCUGGGACCGAGGACCGCGCUUCGGCUAGGAUGCUGGCGUGAUGGUUGUAAGCGGCCCGUCUUGAAACACGGACCAAGGAGUCU
Molecule: ribosomal RNA, 524 nt
Filed under: uncultured fungus
Lineage: Eukaryota; Fungi
Description: eukaryotic LSU rRNA
Rfam family: Eukaryotic large subunit ribosomal RNA
Source: RNAcentral